UUGAUAUUUUAUGUGGGACUCAGACAACACUAAAAAACAGCGUGUAAGGGGUCUCUGACGGGCACGCACCAGCCGGAGCCGGUGGCCAAGAUGGACGGCCCGCCAAAGCAACAAAGUAAGAUAAGCAAGGGUGGGAGAUCUACCCCGGGGGGCAAGAACUCGAUAAUGAUCCUUCCGCAGGUUCACCUACGGAAA
Molecule: unclassified non-coding RNA, 195 nt
Filed under: uncultured fungus
Lineage: Eukaryota; Fungi
Description: sequence contains ITS1
Source: RNAcentral